RNAcentral lists this transfer RNA (73 nucleotides) under Ailuropoda melanoleuca (giant panda). It matches the Rfam family "tRNA". From Rfam's summary of the family: Transfer RNA (tRNA) molecules are approximately 80 nucleotides in length. Their secondary structure includes four short double-helical elements and three loops (D, anti-codon, and T loops). The record is from Rfam by way of RNAcentral. Lineage: Eukaryota; Metazoa; Chordata; Mammalia; Carnivora; Ursidae.
GCCUGGCUGGCUCAGUCGGUAGAGCAUGUGACUCUUGAUCUUGGGGUUGUGAGUUUGAGCCCCAUGUUAGGUG